GGGGUUCAGUCUGCCGCUGCAAAUACCAAAAGCUGUCCUCAUUGAGUCAUCCCUCCCAGAGCAGGAAGAGCAGAGAUAAAACAGCAUGUAAGCAUCUCUGCAGUUGCUGUCCCCAGAGCCCACUUCCUGGAUAUUGCCAGCUGCCUGGACCAACCUUUCCGAAAGAUCAGCCAGGUCACAGUGAGGGUCAAAGGUGAGGCAACACCCGGCCUGCUUCAGCUUGCCCCCCGUGGGCUGCACCCACUGUCCAACCAGUCCCAAUGAGAUGAACCAGCAGGAGGCCACUGGAGGCUCCAAGGGCUCUGAAAUGUUGAGAACUUCCCUGCAGGUACCAGCGAAGAGGGCAAGAACACAGCACUACUUCCUUGGAUACUGUUUCCCUCCUCAGAGGGGUUUUCUGAGCUGCCCUGGGUCCUGUGAGGAAGAUCUCCCCUUCCUGUAAAGACACCAGUCCUACUGGAUCAGGGCCCACCCGUGUGACUUCACUUUUACUUGAGUACCUCUCACAGACCCUAACUCCAAAUCAGGUCACUUGCUGAGGUACUGCAUGUGAAGACUUUGACAUUUGAAUUUUGAGGGGGCCACCGUUUAACCUGAACCACCAAGGACAGAGCCAAAGACCCUGGGUGACAGGCCCAGAACAGGACCUGGUGGAGGCUCUUCUUUAGGGGAGAGAGGGAAAUGGGAGCCACCACUGGCAGAGCCUGAAGGCAGGGCAGCCAGAAAGAAGCUGUGGGAGUCCCCACCAUGGAAGACCCUGCCGAGCAUCCUGUGUCUCCUGAAGCAGACCCUGACAUGAGGACUGGGGGCACGUGUUUAUUAAGGGCGAUCCCCGGAAGGAGGAGAUAACCAGGCAGAAGUCCUAGCAGAGUAUGCCCACGCUGGUUAGUGCUGCUGCAAAGAUGAGCCGAAGACCAUGAGAGACCUCCAGGUGGUCCUUCUGGGGAGAAGAAAUGGGUUUUGGCCCCAAAUCCUUCUGCUGCAUUUUUCCCCUAUCCCUGGGAAGCCAUGAGACCUCAAACCUGUGUUCCCAAGGAGGCGAGCUGCUGUUCCCAGGUGAUGAUAUGAUGUGCUUGGGGAAAGUAAGUGGCUGCCAGACAUGGCUGAGAGCUGUUGUCACUGCCGUCAAGUGCAUGUCUCCAAGCCAUAUCACACGGCGUCCCUCGAUGUGAGGCCACAUGGCAAGUGGGCCGUGGAUCUCCCUCUGCCCUUUGCAAGCACGUAAGACAGCAGAUUUUGCAGAUACCUUGUGGCGCAGGGGAAUUUCCUUUGGCCAGGUCUGAAGAAAUAAAGCAGCAGGCACCGAGAACAAAGCCAAGGCUUUCAAAAGACAAGGAGCCAAAAAACUUACUCAAAAUAAAAGUAGUUUUAAAAUG
RNAcentral lists this long non-coding RNA (1376 nucleotides) under Homo sapiens (human). RNAcentral describes it as "long intergenic non-protein coding RNA 3125". Lineage: Eukaryota; Metazoa; Chordata; Mammalia; Primates; Hominidae. The record is from RNAcentral.